Cannabis sativa is the source of this 1584-nucleotide long non-coding RNA. RefSeq lists it as uncharacterized. NCBI's taxonomy places the organism in Eukaryota, Viridiplantae, Streptophyta, Magnoliopsida, Rosales, Cannabaceae. The record is from RefSeq and is a predicted model, not a curated record. The transcript has 10 exons.
UUUUGGCUUAUUGUUUCCUGACUAUGUUUCACAUGACAGUUUUGUAAGUUAUUUUUACAACUAAUUGUAUUUUUGUUUUUAUUAGGUACAAUGAGCAAUUUAAUAAAUCAUCUCAACAAAUUCCAAACUCUCGAUAUGGCCAACUCGGGAUCAGGAUCUGAUUCAGGCGCAGAGGCAGAGUGUCCAAUCGUAAUACUUACACGAGGGCCUACGCAAAUGAAUGAAAUAUCUAAACUAAUGCAUCGGGGCAAAAGAGUGGCCCUCGAAGUUAAUGACAAAGGACAAUGCUGCGGGAAAAAUUAUGCCAAGUUCGUAUCAACUCUAGGAGUCAGAUGCCGGCAGACGAUAGGGUUGUCCUAUAAAAACUGGAAAGAAGCCAACCCUACUCUGAAAAAUAAAGUUUGGAAAGACAUACAAAUGGGAUUCAUUGUGCCGGACUCCUUCAAACAUGAUUGUCUCAUCCUAGCUGGGAAGUUAAUGAAAGACUUCACGAAUAGGAUGACAAAAGACAUCAUAAUGCCCGCUUUGCAAGAGAAGGAUCUGGGACGACUGACACAAGUCCCUGAAAAGCACCCCGAGAUCGACCACGCUGAUUGGUGCAAAUUUGUUGAGAGUCGACUAACUCCUGAAUUUCAGGAGUUGAGUAAGGUGCAACGUGAACGUUCCUCGAAAAUCCAAUCCAGACAUCGAAGUGGUUAGAGUGGAAUGGUGAACGUACGGGAAGCUAUGAAAAAAAAUCUCGAAGUUCCAGAUCCCCCCGCCACUGUGUUUGGAUUAAAUCUCGCACCAAGAGUCGAAAACUUGUCACUGAUUACGACAAGGAAAUUACAGAGAAGAUAGCUCAAUUGGUGCAAAUUUGUUGAGAGUCGACUAACCCCUGAAUUUCAGGAAUUGAAAAAGGUGCAAAGGGAACGCUUGGCAAAAAUCCAAUCCAGACAUCGAAGUGGUCGGAGUGGAAUGGUGAACGUACGGGAAGAUGUGAAAAAUGACCUCGACGUUCAAGAUCCCCCACGCUACCGUGUUUGGAUCAAAUCUCAGACCAAGAGAACAAAACUUGUCACUGAUUACGACAAGAAAAUUGCUGAGAAGAUAGCUAAAUUAGAGGAGCAACUUACUCAGGGUCAAAUUCAAGUCCAGGGCCAAAACGACAUCUUGACGCAGGCGCUCGGGACACCAUAGCAUCCUAGAUGUGUCAAGACUGCUGGGAUUUUGUAUGCUUGGUGUUGAUAAUGCUAAACACUUCCUCAAAUGCUAACUAAGCUGCUGAUGUUUGAAGAGGCUAUGUUGGAGAUGGAAGGAAAGUGAAGAGAUUUCUGAUUCCCGUAUCCUACUUCAACCGAAUUACGUUUCAAAGAGUUUAUUUGCCAAGUCAAAUGAAGAAUUCGGAUUUGAUCCUCCAAUGGGAGGCCUCAUUCUAGUUUCUUUCUUGAAUGUUUCCUCAUGAGGGUGGACACCUAUAUAUGACAUUUUUCACUCAUCAAAUGUUUUUGUUACAAAUUUAUAUUGUAAACAAUGCCAGCAUUGUAAAUAUUUUUUCUUGGUGUCUUAAAAGGAUUAUAACAAUGGAUUAAAAAUAUUUUUCAA